RNAcentral lists this ribosomal RNA (278 nucleotides) under uncultured bacterium. Its description in RNAcentral is "partial 16S ribosomal RNA". It matches the Rfam family "Bacterial small subunit ribosomal RNA", at positions 506 to 784 of the family's 1533-position model. The record is from RNAcentral.
UGCCAGCAGCCGCGGUAACACGGGGGGCGCAAGCGUUAUUCGGAAUUAUUGGGCGUAAAGGGAGCGUAGGCGGUUUUGCAAGUCAGAAGUGAAAGGCUACGGCUCAACCGUAGUAAGCUUUUGAAACUGCAAGACUAGAGUGCAGGAGAGGCAAGUGGAAUUCCUAGUGUAGAGGUGAAAUUCGUAGAUAUUAGGAGGAACACCAGUGGCGAAGGCGGCUUUCUGGACCAAUACUGACGCUGAGAUGCGAAAGCGUGGGGAGCGAACAGGAUUAGAUA